AUUCAUGGCACAACGAAAAGGCUUGGGGGUACACAAGACAAAAAAGGUUGGGAAAUACUGCUCUACAGUAUGUUGGCUCUGCAAAAUUACUAAGAGAAACCAAAUCGGGGGCGUUCAUGCUGAAGCAGAACGAGAAAAUGACAAGGUGAUGAUUUUCAAUUUUUUACCGUACCUCUUUCAAGAACUGCUCGAACUGAAGGUCCAGCUCUUCUUUGGACGCAGAAGAAAACCAAGCAGCAACAGAAGAGGUGAGACGAAAGUCCAAAUAUCCAACUGUUGGUCAGAAACCAGGCUGCUCAGACUUCUUGAUGAAAAGGCUUCAGAAAGGGCAAAAAUACUUUGACUAGGGCGAUUACAACAUGGCCAAGGCGAAGAAAAGCAAACAGCUACCUGCCUCCCUGCCCGACAGAAGUGUUGUCACAGGAGAUCACAUACCCACCCCCAAGGAUCUACCCCACAGACGGCAAUCUUUAGUCACAACAAGCAAACUGGUUGGCUGACAAAAUGUUUCCAGUAUUACUUACAUUCAGAAAUCUCACAGAAAUUAUAAUAUUUCAUUUCAAACAUCCACACGUACCUUCUAGAGGGGGCCGAUUUAUUUUACCAUGGAAGGUUGAGAGGAAUGUUUUGUCUGUUUUCACGUUACUUCUAUACAGUUUUAUCACUUUUGCCUUGUUCUACAACAGUAGAAGCAUUUGGGCGGAGGUGGACAGGUUGACCAAAAUAAUGUUUAAAAGCAGGUAGUAGGCCUUUGGAAUACAAUACAACACAGAUGUUGAAUGUUACCAUACGUUUUGUUACUUAACUGAAAGUAAGAGUAUGUUGGAUACAUUAAGUGCAAAUUAUAUAGACUAUUUCAAGAAUGAGGUCUUCAGAAAACAGCAAAAAGUCAACCGCUGCAGUUAUGGGUAGAGAUUAGGGAUGCCCAAUGUGAAAAAUUUCAGCCGACACCGAUAUUGAUAUUGCGGUUUUGGCCAAUAACCGAUAUUAACCGAUACCGAUUAUUUUCUUUUCUUUUAAAAAAGAGAUAACAUUUAAUACAGACUGACAAUGAUGCAAACAAACUGAAAGUGUGAAUGUCCUCUCAUUUCCAAAAACACUUUUAAACUCCCUGUGAUAAAAUUAGAUAAAAAAUUGAGACAAACAAUGAAAGUCACCGUCAAGUCCAAUCUUUUAGAACCGUAAUAUAUAUUAAAAAAACAUUGGAGUUAACAUCGGCCCAGUUUUACCCAUCGGACCGAUGUCCGAUGUGUUGAGAAAUGUCAAAUAUCGGCUGAUACUGAUACUUCUGGCCGAUACAUCGUGCAUCCCUAGUGAUAGUUCAUUAGUGUGCUUCACAGCAGACAUACCAUAUGCCCAAAAGAUGAAGAGAGAUUGUGGCUACCAUGAUUGGAGAGUUCAGAGUCGUACUGUGACAGAAUGUCUUGAUAUGAUCAAAUGCCUUAAGCUUUUGGAACAUUAGUGUUGUGAUUUUUUUGCUUAAUUUCCAUUUCCAUUUCCUUGUGGGGAAUUACAAAGAAAAUAUUUUAAACCUUUUCUCCCUACUCCUCACUCUUGCAGUACCAGCAAUCUAUACAUACAAUAAAUCAUAUUUUUUCUUGGUGUCAAGGUGAGGUUGUACUGUUUGCAAUAAUUUACACUGUUUCUCUGCCUACACCUGCAAAACUAGUAGGCCUACUGGUAAACUUCCGGCCACAUACUGUAAGUAGUGCAAAUGAACACGGAAAGUGCUUACUAUGCUUAAGGUGCUAUGUCAGUGUUGAGUUCCACAUAAAUGCCCCUGUAUUUGACAUUAUCCAAUACACUAAAUUCAAUCACACUAAGUAGAAUCAUAAUAAAGCACACUUGUUAUAACAUCCAAUAAUCAGAAAACAUAUUUUGUCAUGUGAAAAUGCACUUUUGUAGGCAUUGCUAUUGAAAGUAAGCUAACAAUGACACAGAUGUAGGCCUAAUAUGAACGAGGUGAUUUUGACCUGACGUCCAGUAAUGUGUGGUAGGUUGGUACCUAAGACAAUUGCCAUUAUUUGAAUGUGAUGAAUGUGAUUUUAAAAAGCAUCUAUUGUGUUUCUUUGUUUAUUAUUAUGUAAUAAUGUGCAUACGUGUGCAUUCAGGCACUUAAAACUCAAAUGUUAAAGCUGACGUAGGGUUAACUGUACUCUCUUCUUCAAUUCAGAUCACCCACUUUCUCUGUGACUUUGUUAAGUUAAGUCUGCAAGGGUCUAUUCUAAAUAAUUGCACAAGCUUGUUAGUUUUUACUAAAAGAAUGUAUUAAAGACGGAC
Molecule: long non-coding RNA, 2280 nt
Organism: Engraulis encrasicolus (European anchovy)
Lineage: Eukaryota; Metazoa; Chordata; Actinopteri; Clupeiformes; Engraulidae
Exons: 3
Source: RefSeq, a predicted model, not a curated record